RNAcentral lists this long non-coding RNA (3789 nucleotides) under Heterocephalus glaber (naked mole-rat). RNAcentral describes it as "lncRNA (ENSHGLG00000034846.1)". The record is from RNAcentral. Lineage: Eukaryota; Metazoa; Chordata; Mammalia; Rodentia; Bathyergidae.
GUGAGAUGUCCUAGGGGUGAGGGCGAAGGGCACUGUGCUGCUCCCGCGCCCUGGACAGGGGCCAAGACCGGCACGGUGCAGGCCUCGGGGCGCUGAAUAAGUCAUGACUGAGCCAGCCAGCCGUCUCCUCCGAGGCGGCUCGGCCACACAGAUGCUAUCUGUCGGGAAGCAGGUGGCACCUGUGCGCCCUUCUCGACAGAUGGCGAGCAGGCCGAGCCUUCCACCUGGCCGCCUCAUGUUUCCAGAGCUGGUCUGGCUCUGCCAGGUCCACACAAGACCCAUGCACCCCACCCUAACUGCGUUUCCUGCCAGGGUCCCCAGCCCAGAGCCCAGGGAGGCUGUGCCCCUGUCCACAGGGCCUUCACCUCUCCUGCACCCCAGGCCUAGAGGGGAAAAUGCCAAGCCCAAAGGAAAGAGAAAAAACGAGAGAACGGAAGCCAGGACCCCAGGCCCUCCUCGCCCCUGUCUCCUGUGACGCUUCUUGUCCUCGGGGUUGAUGGCUAAGCCGCCAUGGGUGCAGCCCUGACUCAUUUCCGGGGGAGGGGAGCCCUUGCAGCCUGGGCAGGCAGCACUGACUGCAGUGGCCUGGGCUGCCCACGUGGCCCGGUGCCUCGUGGAUCCAGGGAUUCCCUGGUAAAAUUACCCUCGGGGCGUUGUGUAUCAGAUGGACUUGGUGAAACUCGGCAGCUGACUCUGGCUAUCACGUCUCUGAGUAGUGUUGGGCCAAAAGUAACGAAAUCUGCGAGGACCAGGUAAGGACACAGCCGGGCUGAGUUACUCCCAGGGGAGGGGCAUGGUUCGUCUGAGAGACGGAAGGAUGGACAGAGGAGGCACAGGGCAGCAGGAACAAGAGUCUCGAGCAGCCUCAAGCACACGUCUCCCAGGGGCUUCUGAUUUUUCCUUCUCCGGGACUCUGGCCAUCCGUCACCUAACCGUGCAGGCUGCUGGCCUCGCCUGUACCUGCGAACCCUCCCAGGCCUCUGCGUGCCAGCCAGGACGUCACAUGGGCAGGUGUGCCUGACCAGAAGGAGGCCACAGGCCUCGGCCCAGCUCUGCAUGCUCCCUGCUGUUGAACCUGGCUCUUGCUGGCUCUGGGCCUCUGCACCCGGCCUGGGAAGUGGUGGCACGUGAGUCCCUCAGGCAAUGACAGGAGUAGUGAGGGCCAGCUGAGUUCUGGGACUGCCUCGUCUAGGACAAGCGGCCCUGGGCACUUCACUGAAUCUGGGCAAGCCUCAGUUUCCUCUCUGGGUCAGGAUAUGGCACGGUGCCUCUCCCGGGGUAGCUGCAAGGAUGGGUGAAGCCAGGCAUCUGUGGGCUGGGGGUCUAUCUCUAGGAGCACUGUGCAGUGCUACUCGGCGCUUCCUGCCUGCCAGGCAGGGACAUGUGCCCACCUGCCGCAGUCCCCAGUGACUCAGAGACAGGCAAUGUGUUUGUCCUGGCUCCACACUAGGAGACCGACACAUAGGGACUGAGAUGCCAGCCCUGGGCUGAAUGGCUGGGCAGAGCCAAGACUCGCUCCUCCCUGGCUCCUCCCUGGCUCCCCAUCCCUCUCGCCACUGCGUGUGCUGGCUCCUCCGCAGGCCCCUCAUUCACCACACUGGGCCCCUUCAUCCUGCUGCUUGGAAGCCCUGGACCCUCUUCUCCAGGCUGCCUGCUCACUCCCAGGGCACCUGCUGGUGGUCACCAUGACAGGAGGCACUGAGCCAGGCAUGAGUGGGCAUGGCUGGGUCACCUGGCUCCUCCUGGGGGAGACACCAGCCCCUACUCCCCCGGUCUCCUCUGUGGUGUGCUCUCCACCUCUGUGCCCCCAACACUGAGCCAAGAAGUCCGCUCAGGGGCUUUUAGUCUCCACGGCCACCCCAGGAGGUGGGCAAGUUAGUGACGAUCGUCCCUGAGGUGGACAAGAACGUCCCUGAGGUGUAUGAGGCAUCAAGCCCAGGGAGGGCAUGCGACACACGAGGCCACACGGCCAAUCCUGGAGGAGCUGGUGCCCAGUUUCCGGCACCCUUGGGCCACAAGGUACAGCCUCCUUUGGGUCUGGGGGCAGGGCUUUUCCAGUGCAGGGUGUGGCCUGGCCCUCAGGGCGUCCCUGCCCUGGGGAAGGCAGAAUGGUCUGCUCCUCUCCCCGCCCUGGCUCAGGGACCUUGGGGGGACCCGGUGUCCUCCCCAGGUCUGAAAAGCAUGAGAGAAAACAAGCCUGAGAGGUCAGAUUCCUUCUCCCUCUUCUACCCAGGAGGCUGUGUGGUCACCUCAAAGGGGUCCUGCAUGGGAACCAAGGGUGGCAGGUGCUACAGGCCCCAGUUCUGCUCCAGUGUUGAAGGCCGGGGGCCUUUUCUGCCACACCCUGGGCGUGUGGGGCUGAGUGUGGUGCACUCUGGGGCCAUGGGACUAGGGUGACGUGGCGUAGCCAUAGCACCUCCAUCCCCACAUGGCCUGCCCCACAGGCCUCAGUCACCCAUCUGGGAAAGGGGCUCCUCACCUGCCAUCAGGGUGGGAGGAGGACAGGACCCCUCAGCUGGGUGCUGCCCACCACAGAGACACCGUGCAGGUCAAGACAGAGGAGUGCUGGGCCCAGGCUGCCCACCCUGAGAGUGCUGUCACCUGGAGAGACCGAGGAGGGGAAAGUGAGCUGCACCAGGACCUCAGGAAAGAGCCAUCCACAGUCACCCUGGUGACACAGAGGCCGCCACCCGCUGUGCUCAGCCCUGGCCUUCAGGCUCUGGCGAACCUGAGCCUGCUUCCAUUCAUCUGCAAAAUGUGAAGAGGGAGAAGCUCCAGCCCCGUGCAGAGCUUCGACCCACGCAGCCCCGGGGUGCAGCCCUGAGUCCAGGCUCACAGGGCCCGGCCAGCACCCUCAGGAGCCCCUGGCUCCCACAGCUGUAACCUCACUGGGCCUCAGCUUCCUGGCGCUGCAGCGAGGACAUCUGCUGGCCCAGCCUGUGGUGCCGAGGUGCUGAGAACUGAGGCGGACAGCACCUGGCACCCAGGCUCCUCACCCCAACCAGCACAGGACCCAGUCAUCAGGUCCCCAUUCACGGGCUCGUGGGAUGUCAGGGCCCAGGCCACACAGCCGAGACGUGAGCCCAAGGCACCUGCGGAGGCAAUGAAGGGAAGCAGCACUGGUGUCUGGGGCCUGACGCCUCCCUGGGCGGGAGUGCCCUCCAUUGGCAAGUGUGCCGAGAGGUGACACGCAGCCCCAAGAGCCCAGGAAACUGAGUCACAGCUGAGACUGGCCGAGGGCCUGCGGUGCACCCAGUGCUUCUUAACCCGGCUCGUCCUCCACACCCACAGGAAGGGUUCGCCCUCUGCUUCCACCAGGGGGAUGGAGAGAUCAGGGCAAAGCCUGGGGCGGUGCACCCAUCGUCCCAGCACUCUGGGAGGCUGAGGCAGGAGGACGGCAAGCUCCAGGGCAGCCAGGGCAGCUCGAGGACUUCAACAAGGCCCUGUCUCAGAACAGGAAAUGAAAACAGGGCUGGGCAUGCGGCUCAGUGUGAAGGCCCUAGGCCCAGUCCCCAUACUGAAAAGUAGAUAAAGCCCACCUCCUCUGCUACACACACUCAUACUCGCAUGUGUGCACACACAAGUAAAUUCAGCCUUGUGCAGCCUGUUGUUAGCAGGGUUUUGUGAUUUUUAAAAAAUGGUCAGAAAUAAACAGGGACCGUCCAGGCCAGAAGGGAGGGACCAGACUUGGGGGGAGGCUGGGCAGGUCUGCAGGAGAGAGGCACACAGGGUCUUGAACAGGAAAUGCAGGGCAAGGAAGACAGCAGGAUGGACACCGGGAAGGCCAGG